CUCCCACCCAGGAGUUGAUUCAACAACAGACCAGGAUCAGAGGCUGCAGGUACCAAAACCAAGGAGCGCUUUCCUUUGGGGGUCCCUAUCAGGCACUUGGAGAAGAUGUAGGAAAAGCACUCAGCACAGUAUCAGACCCAGCAGCAUGACUUCUUCCUUCUUAGGAUGCUGGCACCCCUGGAAGAAAUGGACCAAGACGCCAGAUCCUAUCUCUUUCCCCUCUGUUGUGAUGUAAUGGAUUUCUUGCUCCUGGUCCCAGUCACAAAGCCUCGAAAAGCCACCGCCUGAGAUCACGAACCCUGGCCCUUUUUUUGCCAGCAGGAGCGGGAAUUGGCUGCAGCUCCCCUCCCGAAGCUCCUUGCCUACACACCUGGCCACCUGCUCAGGGGCCCCAUCCCAGCAGCUGCACACACUCAUGCCUCUGUGUCCUUCAAACCCUCCCUUCUCUCGUACUCUCUUCGUCCAAACCUGCCUGGAUCCAGGGCCGCCUGUGUAAAUGUUGCACUGUCCCCCAGAGGUGCCAGGCAAGAUGGCCCUUUCUUUACAAGCACUUUCCCCCUAAACCAACUAGUUCCUAUCAAGUUGGCCGCUCUAAUUUGUGGAUGAAUUAAGCAAACGAGUGAAUGCACAAUGGAUCAGAAGCUGAAGUGCUCUGGGCUGGGAGAUGGGUGCAGAGGCUUGCUGUGUUAAUAGCCAGUAACAGCCAAGCACCUACUGUGUGCCUGUACCUCACAGCUCCUGGGGACACGAGGCCACCAGGAACCCCAACACGGAGAUCCACUGGGCUGCCAAGGGAGCUGAUGACCCCGUACAGCCAUCAAGGAAGGAGUCACCAGGCAAAGGGCCAGGCAGGGUGGGGUCAGGUGGGGGUCUUCUAGGCAAAAGAGUGGAGCUUACUUGGCACCGAGUAAGUCCUUUGUAGCACAUGCCACUUGUCUUACCGUUACACUUUGGUAUUUAACUCCCCCUAGACUAAACUCCAGGACAGGGCGAGGACCAGAUGGUGCCUUCUGGGCUGAGCAUGACAGUUCUGGCAGCAGCCUAACUCAUUAAACAUUAACCAGUGGAAUAUUCAGGAACCUGCAGGUGGCUCAGACUGGCCCCAGGUAGAGAGUGUAAGGAGGAAGCUGCAGUGGAGCGCUGGGAAGAG
RNAcentral lists this long non-coding RNA (1150 nucleotides) under Heterocephalus glaber (naked mole-rat). RNAcentral's name for it is "lncRNA (ENSHGLG00100047637.1)". The record is from RNAcentral. Lineage: Eukaryota; Metazoa; Chordata; Mammalia; Rodentia; Bathyergidae.